This 358-nucleotide ribosomal RNA is filed under the name uncultured bacterium. Its description in RNAcentral is "bacterial SSU rRNA". It matches the Rfam family "Bacterial small subunit ribosomal RNA", at positions 28 to 401 of the family's 1533-position model. The record is from RNAcentral.
GACGAACGCUGGCGGCGUGCUUAACACAUGCAAGUCACGGGGGCCCGCAAGGGCAACCGGCGAACGGGUGCGUAACACGUGAACAACCUGCCCUCGUGUGGGGGAUAGCCAUGCUAACGCGUGGGUAAUACCGCAUACGUUCCCCUGGAGGAGUCUCUGGGGGAGGAAAGCUCCGGCGCACGGGGAGGGUUCGCGGCCUAUCAGCUAGUUGGCGGGUAAUGGCCCACCAAGGCGACGACGGUAGCUGGCUGAGAGGAUGGCCAGCCACAUUGGGACUGAGAGACGGCCCAGACUCCUACGGGAGCAGCAGUGGGGAAUCUUGCGCAAUGGUCUAACGACUGACGCAAGCGACGCCGCG